This 75-nucleotide transfer RNA is filed under the name Bacillota bacterium. RNAcentral describes it as "tRNA-Trp". It matches the Rfam family "tRNA". Rfam says of the family: Transfer RNA (tRNA) molecules are approximately 80 nucleotides in length. Their secondary structure includes four short double-helical elements and three loops (D, anti-codon, and T loops). Further hydrogen bonds mediate the characteristic L-shaped molecular structure. tRNAs have two regions of fundamental functional importance: the anti-codon, which is responsible for specific mRNA codon recognition, and the 3' end, to which the tRNAs corresponding amino acid is attached (by aminoacyl-tRNA synthetases). tRNAs cope with the degeneracy of the genetic code in two manners: having more than one tRNA (with a specific anti-codon) for a particular amino acid; and 'wobble' base-pairing, i.e. permitting non-standard base-pairing at the 3rd anti-codon position. Lineage: Bacteria; Bacillati; Bacillota. The record is from RNAcentral.
AGGGGUAUCAUACAACGGUUAGUAUGACGGUCUCCAAAACCGUUCAUGAGGGUUCGAAUCCUUCUACCCCUGCCA